Molecule: ribosomal RNA, 328 nt
Filed under: uncultured bacterium
Lineage: Bacteria
Description: bacterial SSU rRNA
Rfam family: Bacterial small subunit ribosomal RNA
Source: RNAcentral
ACUCCUACGGGAGGCAGCAGUGGGGAAUAUUGCACAAUGGGGGAAGCAUCCUGAUGCAGCCAUGCCGCGUGUGUGAAGAAGGCCUUCGGGUUGAUAAAGCACUUUCAGUUGUGGAGGAAAGGUUGUAGUUAAUACCUGCCAGCUGUUGACGUUAACAACAGAAGAAGCACCGGCUAACUCCGUGCCAGCAGCCGCGGUAAUACGGAGGGUGCGAGCGUUAAUCGGAAUUACUGGGCGUAAAGCGCAUGCAGGCGGCCUGUUAAGUCAGAUGUGAAAGCCCGGGCUUAACCUCGAAUUGCAUUUGAAACUGGCAGGCUAGAGUCUUGUA